UUAUUCGAGAAGCCAUUGGUUGUUCGAAUGCUUGUACCCAGUCCUUCAUCGAGUGAAUCAAAAGUCCUGACGGUCCUGAAACGGCGAGGAUUCCGAUGUGAGGUCCUUAGUUGUCAGGAAAAUGGCAGCACCACAUCCACUGUUUCCAGCGAAUGCACCUGAUAUACUGUCUGCUGAAAUGAGUGGGAUACCUGAAAUUCUCGGUAACGUGCAGGAUACUACGGGAAUCCCCCAUCCAAAUGAUGGAGGUUUCAGCCAGAGAUCAAGAGACAGGGACAUGAGGAGAAAAGUUUUGUUAGAGGCCAUAAAGAUAAGAGAAUGGAUAUUAGUUUAGGAAACCGAAGAAUAAAAGCAAGAUAUAGAAGUAAUUGAUUUUUCUAUGAUGGGUUACUAUGUUGGGUUACUAUAAGGAUUUUCUGGUCAAAACUAAAUU
Molecule: non-coding RNA, 433 nt
Organism: Pocillopora verrucosa
Lineage: Eukaryota; Metazoa; Cnidaria; Anthozoa; Scleractinia; Pocilloporidae
Source: RefSeq, a predicted model, not a curated record